AUGCCUCCUAGGAAGAAGCGCAAGGGUGCGUCGCCGGUGUGCGCCACCGACCGCAUCGGCACCCUCCCCGACAAUAUGCUCCACCACCUGCUCUCUUUCCUGCCAGCGCAGGCGGCUGUGCGGACGUGUGUGCUCGCCCGCCGUUGGCGCGACCUCUGGAGGUCCGCCACAGGCCUGCGAAUUGUCGGCCUCGACGACGACAACGACGAGAAGCCUGUCCAGGCCCAGGACCUCCAUAAGUCCGUGGACUAUCUGCUGGUCCUGCGUGAGCGCACAGACCUAGACACCGUUGAGAUAAGAUUCGACACUUUCCUGGAAGAGGACAUACCCUAUGUGAACCUAUGGGUCCGUUCUGCUGUGAUGUGCAAAGUUCAGGUGUCCAGCAUUGGAGGAUCUGAAGAUGGUUAA
Molecule: ribosomal RNA, 408 nt
Filed under: Triticum aestivum (bread wheat)
Lineage: Eukaryota; Viridiplantae; Streptophyta; Magnoliopsida; Poales; Poaceae
Description: partial small subunit ribosomal RNA
Source: RNAcentral